CUUCGGUGGGGAUUAGUGGCGAACGGGUGAGUAACACGUGGGCAAUCUGCCCUUCACUCUGGGACAAGCCCUGGAAACGGGGUCUAAUACCGGAUACCACUCGCGCAGGCAUCUGUGCGGGUUGAAAGCUCCGGCGGUGAAGGAUGAGCCCGCGGCCUAUCAGCUUGUUGGUGAGGUAACGGCUCACCAAGGCGACGACGGGUAGCCGGCCUGAGAGGGCGACCGGCCACACUGGGACUGAGACACGGCCCAGACUCCUACGGGAGGCAGCAGUGGGGAAUAUUGCACAAUGGGCGCAAGCCUGAUGCAGCGACGCCGCGUGAGGGAUGACGGCCUUCGGGUUGUAAACCUCUUUCAGCAGGGAAGAAGCGCAAGUGACGGUACCUGCAGAAGAAGCGCCGGCUAACUACGUGCCAGCAGCCGCGGUAAUACGUAGGGCGCAAGCGUUGUCCGGAAUUAUUGGGCGUAAAGAGCUCGUAGGCGGCUUGUCACGUCGGGUGUGAAAGCCCGGGGCUUAACCCCGGGUCUGCAUUCGAUACGGGCAGGCUAGAGUGUGGUAGGGGAGAUCGGAAUUCCUGGUGUAGCGGUGAAAUGCGCAGAUAUCAGGAGGAACACCGGUGGCGAAGGCGGAUCUCUGGGCCAUUACUGACGCUGAGGAGCGAAAGCGUGGGGAGCGAACAGGAUUAGAUACCCUGGUA
RNAcentral lists this ribosomal RNA (698 nucleotides) under Streptomyces sp. FXJ1.215. Its description in RNAcentral is "bacterial SSU rRNA". It matches the Rfam family "Bacterial small subunit ribosomal RNA", at positions 80 to 792 of the family's 1533-position model. Lineage: Bacteria; Bacillati; Actinomycetota; Actinomycetes; Kitasatosporales; Streptomycetaceae. The record is from RNAcentral.